Molecule: transfer RNA, 70 nt
Filed under: Heterocephalus glaber (naked mole-rat)
Lineage: Eukaryota; Metazoa; Chordata; Mammalia; Rodentia; Bathyergidae
Rfam family: tRNA
About the family: Transfer RNA (tRNA) molecules are approximately 80 nucleotides in length. Their secondary structure includes four short double-helical elements and three loops (D, anti-codon, and T loops). Further hydrogen bonds mediate the characteristic L-shaped molecular structure. tRNAs have two regions of fundamental functional importance: the anti-codon, which is responsible for specific mRNA codon recognition, and the 3' end, to which the tRNAs corresponding amino acid is attached (by aminoacyl-tRNA synthetases). tRNAs cope with the degeneracy of the genetic code in two manners: having more than one tRNA (with a specific anti-codon) for a particular amino acid; and 'wobble' base-pairing, i.e. permitting non-standard base-pairing at the 3rd anti-codon position.
Source: Rfam by way of RNAcentral
GGGGGUGUAGCUCAGUGGUAGAGCGUGAUUUUAGCAUGUAUAAGGCCCUAGGAUCAAUCCAGCAUCCCCC